GUUUUGAUUGUAUGUUUUCACGUUCAUUACACAUAGUUGGUAAGACUCGCUCGUGAGAGCUCGUCAACAGUUCACAAUGUUGGAUAUGUUUUAAGGCCGAAGCCAAAUCACUAAUGAUCCUUCCGCAGGUUCACCUACGGAAA
This 143-nucleotide unclassified non-coding RNA is filed under the name uncultured fungus. RNAcentral's name for it is "sequence contains ITS1". Lineage: Eukaryota; Fungi. The record is from RNAcentral.